GGUGAACGCUGGCGGUAGGCCUAACACAUGCAAGUCGAACGGCAGCACAGUAAGAGCUUGCUCUUACGGGUGGCGAGUGGCGGACGGGUGAGGAAUACAUCGGAAUCUACUUUUUCGUGGGGGAUAACGUAGGGAAACUUACGCUAAUACAGCAUACGACCUACGGGUGAAAGCAGGGGAUCUUCGGACCUUGCGCGAGUGAAUGAGCCGAUGUCGGAUUAGCUAGUUGGCGGGGUAAAGGCCCACCAAGGCGACGAUCCGUAGCUGGUCUGAGAGGAUGAUCAGCCACACUGGAACUGAGACACGGUCCAGACUCCUACGCGAGGCAGCAGUGGGGAAUAUUGGACAAUGGGCGCAAGCCUGAUCCAGCCAUACCGCGUGGGUGAAGAAGGCCUUCGGGUUGUAAAGCCCUUUUGUUGGGAAAGAAAAGCAGCAGGUUAAUACCCCGCUGUUCUGACGGUACCCAAAGAAUAAGCACCGGCUAACUUCGUG
This 492-nucleotide ribosomal RNA is filed under the name uncultured bacterium. Its description in RNAcentral is "partial 16S ribosomal RNA". It matches the Rfam family "Bacterial small subunit ribosomal RNA", at positions 28 to 507 of the family's 1533-position model. The record is from RNAcentral.